Molecule: ribosomal RNA, 310 nt
Filed under: Burkholderia sp.
Lineage: Bacteria; Pseudomonadati; Pseudomonadota; Betaproteobacteria; Burkholderiales; Burkholderiaceae
Description: bacterial SSU rRNA
Rfam family: Bacterial small subunit ribosomal RNA
Source: RNAcentral
CUCUAAGGAGACUGCCGGUGACAAACCGGAGGAAGGUGGGGAUGACGUCAAGUCCUCAUGGCCCUUAUGGGUAGGGCUUCACACGUCAUACAAUGGUCGGAACAGAGGGUUGCCAACCCGCGAGGGGGAGCUAAUCCCAGAAAACCGAUCGUAGUCCGGAUUGCACUCUGCAACUCGAGUGCAUGAAGUUGGAAUCGCUAGUAAUCGCGGAUCAGCAUGCCGCGGUGAAUACGUUCCCGGGUCUUGUACACACCGCCCGUCACACCAUGGGAGUGGGUUUUACCAGAAGUGGCUAGUCUAACCGCAAGGA